GCCGCGGUAAUACGUAGGUGGCAAGCGUUAUCCGGAAUUAUUGGGCGUAAAGCGCGCGUAGGCGGUUUUUUAAGUCUGAUGUGAAAGCCCACGGCUCAACCGUGGAGGGUCAUUGGAAACUGGAAAACUUGAGUGCAGAAGAGGAAAGUGGAAUUCCAUGUGUAGCGGUGAAAUGCGCAGAGAUAUGGAGGAACACCAGUGGCGAAGGCGACUUUCUGGUCUGUAACUGACGCUGAUGUGCGAAAGCGUGGGGAUCAAACAGGAUUAGAUACCCUGGUAGUCCACGCCGUAAACGAUGAGUGCUAAGUGUUAGGGGGUUUCCGCCCCUUAGUGCUGCAGCUAACGCAUAAGCA
RNAcentral lists this ribosomal RNA (353 nucleotides) under uncultured bacterium. Its description in RNAcentral is "bacterial SSU rRNA". It matches the Rfam family "Bacterial small subunit ribosomal RNA", at positions 514 to 866 of the family's 1533-position model. The record is from RNAcentral.